GCUGGACAAGUAGCUCAGUUGGUAAAGCAUGAGGUUCUUAAUCUCUGAGUUGCGGGUUUGAGACUCACAUUGGGCA
Molecule: non-coding RNA, 76 nt
Organism: Podarcis lilfordi (Lilford's wall lizard)
Lineage: Eukaryota; Metazoa; Chordata; Lepidosauria; Squamata; Lacertidae
Source: the annotation of a GenBank genome assembly